UCAAGUAGACAAGGGCGCACGGUGAAUGCCUAGGCACUAGCAGCCGAAGAAGGACGUGACGAACUACGAAAAGCUUCGGGGAGUUGUAAGUAAACUAAGAUCCGGAGAUGUCCAAAUGGGGAAACCCAAUGCAGUGAUGCAUUAUUACUAGCCGAAUAGAUAGGCUGGUAAAGGAAGACGCAGUGAACUGAAACAUCUAAGUAGCUGCAGGAAGAGAAAGAAAAAUCGAUUUCCUUAGUAGCGGCGAGCGAAGAGGAAAGAGCCUAAACCAAGUGAUUUAUCAUUUGGGGUAAUAGGACUGCGAUGUAGGAGCGCAAGUAAUAGCAGAACUAUCUGGGAAGGUAGGCCAGAGAGGGUGAGAGCCCCGUAAGCGAAAUUAUGAGCGCACUUAGCAGUAUCCUGAGUAGGCCGGAACACGAGGAAUUCCGGUUGAAUUAGCGAGGACCAUCUCGUAAGGCUAAAUACUAGCUAGUGACCGAUAGUGAACCAGUACCGUGAGGGAAAGGUGAAAAGAACCCCGGAAGGGGAGUGAAAAAGAACCUGAAACCGUGUGUCUACAAAUAGUCAAAGCACAUUAAAGUGCGAUGGCGUGCCUUUUGUAGAAUGAACCGGCGAGUUACGUUAAUUAGCGAGGUUAAAUCAGAAAAGAUGGAGCCGGAGCGAAAGCGAGUCUGAAGAGGGCGAGAUAGUUAGUUGAUGUAGACCCGAAACCAAGUGACCUAUCCAUGAUCAGGUUGAAGGUGUGGUAAAACGCACUGGAGGACCGAACCCGUGUAAGUUAAAAAUUGCUGGGAUGAAUUGUGGAUAGCGGUGAAAUUCCAAACGAACUUGGAGAUAGCUGGUUCUCUCCGAAAUAGCUUUAGGGCUAGCCUCGAAGAAAGGAUAAUGGAGGUAGAGCUCUGUUUGGACGAAGGGCCCGUCAGGGGUUACUGAAUCCAGAUAAACUGCGAAUACCAUGUAUCUAUCUUCGGGAGUCAGACUGCGAGUGAUAAGAUCCGUAGUCGAAAGGGAAACAGCCCAGAUCACCAGUUAAGGUCCCAAAAUCUAUGCUAAGUGGAAAAGGAUGUGGAGUUGCGUAGACAACUAGGAUGUUGGCUCAGAAGCAGCCAUCAUUGAAAGAGUGCGUAAUAGCUCACUAGUCGAGUGACGCUGCGCCGAAAAUUUACCGGGGCUAAGCAUAGUACCGAAACUGUGGAUGUAGUGGAAGACACUACGUGAUAGGAGAGCGUUCUAAAGGCGGUGAAGUUUGACCGUGAGGACAAAUGGAGCUUUUAGAAGUGAGAAUGCCGGUAUGAGUAACGAAAGAUAGGUGAGAAUCCUAUCCACCGAAUGACUAAGGUUUCCUGGGGCAGGUUCGUCCGCCCAGGGUAAGUCGGGACCUAAGACAAGGCCGAGAGGCGUAGCCGAUGGGGAACAGGUAGAGAUUCCUGUACUGCAUUUAAUCGUUACGAGCAAAGGAGCGACGCAGGAGAUAAAGAACGCAUGGUGCUGGAAAUCCAUGUUUAAGCGUUAAGUAUGAGAAUGAGUCAAAUGCUUAUUUUCGUGAAGUACGAGGCGUGAUAAGGAGCGAAAUUAAAGUAGCGAAGGUUCUAUAGUCACACUGCCAAGAAAAACUUCUAGCCAGAGAGAAUGUACCCGUACCGUAAACCGACACAGGUAGUCGAGUAGAAAAUACUAAGGUGAGCGAGAGAACUCUCGUUAAGGAACUCGGCAAAAAGACCCCGUAACUUCGGAAGAAGGGGUGCUGACUAGAGAUAGUCAGCCGCAGUGAAUAGGCCCAAACAACUGUUUAUCAAAAACACAGGUCUUUGCAAAAUCGUAAGACGACGUAUAAGGGCUGACACCUGCCCGGUGCUGGAAGGUUAAGAAGAGAGCUUAGUGCUUAAAGCACGAAGGUUUGAAUUGAAGCCCCAGUAAACGGCGGCCGUAACUAUAACGGUCCUAAGGUAGCGAAAUUCCUUGUCGGGUAAGUUCCGACCUGCACGAAAGGCGUAACGAUUUGGGCACUGUCUCAACCAUGGACCCGGUGAAAUUGCACUAGUCGUGAAGAUGCGACUUACCCGCAGAAGGACGGAAAGACCCCGUGAACCUUUACUGCAGCUUGACAUUGGCUGCCGGUGCGUCGUGUAGAGGAUAGGUGGGAGACUAUGAACCAGGGACGCCAGUUUCUGGGGAGUCACCCUUGGAAUACCACCCUCGACGCUCUGGCAUCCUAACCCGUGGCCGUAAUCCGGCAUGGGGACCGUGUCAGGUGGGUAGUUUGACUGGGGCGGUCGCCUCCUAAAAUGUAACGGAGGCGCACGUAAGGUCUGCUCAAGAUGGUCGGUAACCACCUUUUUGAGUGCAAGAGCAUAAGCAGGCUUGACUGCGAGACGUACAUGUCGAGCAGAUGGGAAACCAGGUUCUAGUGAUCCGGCGGCUCAGAGUGGAAUGGCCGUCGCUCAACGGAUAAAAGGUACUCCGGGGAUAACAGGCUGAUCUUCCCCAAGAGUCCACAUCGACGGGAAGGUUUGGCACCUCGAUGUCGGCUCAUCGCAUCCUGGGGCUGUAGUAGGUCCCAAGGGUUGGGCUGUUCGCCCAUUAAAGC
This 2587-nucleotide ribosomal RNA is filed under the name fermentation metagenome. Its description in RNAcentral is "bacterial LSU rRNA". It matches the Rfam family "Bacterial large subunit ribosomal RNA", at positions 3 to 2594 of the family's 2925-position model. The record is from RNAcentral.